UCCAAUCGCCCAUCAUCACGUGCUGCAUACUAGAGCCUUUGCAGGCUGUUCGUGGACGAAGAGAACUUGCUCACUUCGCUUACUACUUUGCAAGUCAUCUGUACUCGAACAGAGGCGGUGACAUCGCACAGGCGACGGAGGGACUAGCAGAAAACAAACCCAAAUUGAUUUGGGCAUUUCGACGCGCCCGAAAUCAACAGCUGAUAUAUGGGAUAAGCGAUCCAUCGUAAUCAAUAUUUCACCCAUGCAUGUGUGCCUGAGUUUACGUCAGGUUUCUCGUAAAGCUGUAUUGAAAAUCGCAGUUGUCCGUCAGCAAAGCAGCUGGCCUGUUUCGCUUAAUCAACAUAUAUAAACAAAUAACUGACAGGUGACCACAGCUUCUACAGUGGAAGCCGUAGCGAAACGGCACUUGUAUACGAAGAGUCCUGCUUCAUGUCCAACAAGGAAAAGGGGAAACGAUUAGUUAUCCUUUAACAUUGGCCUUAGGUAUUCGAUCUGCGCAAUCUGGAGGUGCCGGCAACAAAAAAAGAAACAAAGAACACGAACUAUGUGGUCCGGCUGGCUUGUCUUGCGAGUAGCAGUUUCGAUAGGUCUGUCUAUACGACUAUGUAAGCAAGAGGAAACGGUCGGAGGCAUCCAUGCUUUCUGGACCAACGCCGUCGUUUCUCUCACUUAGAAAAAGGCCCAAGGAAUUGCGCAAUUCUUCUCCCAAGGGUCUUGAGAAAUAAUUCUGUUCGCCGCUCGAGUCGUCAGACAGGAAUGCCCUAAAUAAGCCUCGACCAAUCGCAGCUUCAAUAAGUGGCCAACAUUUCGUUCAAUGGCAUGAUGGGGCAGGUCUGCGUGCGUGAAUUCUUCUGAGAUCUCUCUAUCAACAAAAGGAAAAUCCAAAUUGCCCCCAAACGUGCCUUUCGUCGUGCCCAGUUUUACCGCACACGCGAAAGUAAGAGUAAACCAUUGGAGCUGCUUGUCAACCUGGGUCCACAUGCACGAUAUAAAUAAACCCUGUGGACACCACACAAACUUUACCGAGUGAAUCAUUUGAAGAAUUGUUUUGUGAUAGAAACUCUGUUGCGCAUUAUAUUGGACGGUUCUCAGUUGAG
Long non-coding RNA from Varroa destructor (honeybee mite), 1100 nucleotides. The record is from RefSeq and is a predicted model, not a curated record. NCBI's taxonomy places the organism in Eukaryota, Metazoa, Arthropoda, Arachnida, Mesostigmata, Varroidae.